GAUGAACGCUAGCGGCAGGCCUAACACAUGCAAGUCGAGGGGCAGCACAGAAACAGCAAUGUUUUGGUGGCGACCGGCGGACGGGUGCGUAACGCGUAUGCAACCUACCUUUAACAGGGGGAUAACGGAGAGAAAUUUCCACUAAUACCCCAUAACAUCGAUCAAGGCAUCUUGAUUGGUUGAAAACUCCGGUGGUUAAAGAUGGGCAUGCGUUGUAUUAGGUAGUUGGUGAGGUAAUGGCUCACCAAGCCUACGAUACAUAGGGGGACUGAGAGGUUAGCCCCCCACACUGGUACUGAGACACGGACCAGACUCCUACGGGAGCAGCAGUGAGGAAUAUUGGUCAAUGGGGGCAACCCUGAACCAGCCAUGCCGCGUGCAGGAAGACGGCUCUAUGAGUUGUAAACUGCUUUAAACAGGGAUAAAGCACAGUAUGUAUACUGUGUUGAAGGUACUGUAAGAAUAAGGAUCGGCUAACUCCGUGCCAGCCGCCGCGGUAA
Molecule: ribosomal RNA, 500 nt
Filed under: uncultured bacterium
Lineage: Bacteria
Description: partial 16S ribosomal RNA
Rfam family: Bacterial small subunit ribosomal RNA
Source: RNAcentral